RNAcentral lists this ribosomal RNA (482 nucleotides) under uncultured bacterium. RNAcentral's name for it is "bacterial SSU rRNA". It matches the Rfam family "Bacterial small subunit ribosomal RNA", at positions 29 to 506 of the family's 1533-position model. The record is from RNAcentral.
UUGAACGCUGGCGGCAUGCUUUACACAUGCAAGUCGAACGGCAGCGGGGGCUUCGGCCUGCCGGCGAGUGGCGAACGGGUGAGUAAUGCAUCGGAACGUACCCAGUUGUGGGGGAUAGCCCGGCGAAAGCCGGAUUAAUACCGCAUAAGUCCUGAGGGAGAAAGCGGGGGACCGUAAGGCCUCGCGCAAUUAGAGCGGCCGAUGUCGGAUUAGCUAGUUGGUGGGGUAAAGGCUCACCAAGGCGACGAUCCGUAGCGGGUCUGAGAGGAUGAUCCGCCACACUGGGACUGAGACACGGCCCAGACUCCUACGGGAGGCAGCAGUGGGGAAUUUUGGACAAUGGGCGAAAGCCUGAUCCAGCCAUGCCGCGUGAGUGAAGAAGGCCUUCGGGUUGUAAAGCUCUUUCAGCCGGAAAGAAAUCGCGCAGGCUAAUACUCUGCGUGGAUGACGGUACCGGAAGAAGAAGCACCGGCUAACUACGU